CGGAACCAAUGUUCCGGCAAGAUUCUUCUUCAACCACCCUUUGUAGGUACCACUAACCUCAGUUUCCUACUCGAUACGAAAGGAGACUUCCUUUGUCUUUCUUCUCUUCUACCCAUCUACCAUGUACUUUUUGAGUGGGGUUUCACAUUCUUCAUACUAGGUGAUGAAUCUCACUAUAGGCUCCGUUUGCAGUGUCUCCUUCUUGAUCUUAAAUUGCCU
This 219-nucleotide long non-coding RNA is filed under the name Capsicum annuum. RNAcentral describes it as "long non-coding RNA (CANN_LNC008483)". Lineage: Eukaryota; Viridiplantae; Streptophyta; Magnoliopsida; Solanales; Solanaceae. The record is from RNAcentral.